CCUGAACGCUGGCGGCGUGGCUAAGACAUGCAAGUCGCACGGGUAGCAAUACCCACGUGGCGGACGGGUGAGUAAUUUAUCGCUAAUGUACCCUCGAGCCAGGGAUAGCUGUCCGAAAGGGCAGGUAAUACCUGAUGAUAUAACUGUGUCGCAUGACAUGGUUCUCAAAGCAGCAAUGCACUCCUGGAGCAGGCGAUAUCGAUCAGCUAGUUGGUGAGGUAACGGCUCACCAAGGCUAUGACGCGUAGCUGGUCUGAGAGGACGAUCAGCCACAUCGGGACU
This 282-nucleotide ribosomal RNA is filed under the name uncultured bacterium. RNAcentral's name for it is "partial 16S ribosomal RNA". It matches the Rfam family "Bacterial small subunit ribosomal RNA", at positions 30 to 320 of the family's 1533-position model. The record is from RNAcentral.